GAUGAACGCUGGCGGCGUGCCUAAUACAUGCAAGUCGAGCGAACGGACGAGAAGCUUGCUUCUCUGAUGUUAGCGGCGGACGGGUGAGUAACACGUGGAUAACCUACCUAUAAGACUGGGAUAACUUCGGGAAACCGGAGCUAAUACCGUAUAAUAUUUUGAACCGCAUGGUUCAAGAGUGAAAGACGGUCUUGCUGUCACUUAUAGAUGGAUCCGCGCUGCAUUAGCUAGUUGGUAAGGUAACGGCUUACCAAGGCAACGAUGCAUAGCCGACCUGAGAGAGGGAUCGGCCACACGGGAACUGAGACAGGGUCCAGACUCCUACGGGAGGCAGCAGUAGGCAAUCUUCCGCAAAGGGCGAAAGCCUGACGGAGCAACGCCGCGUGAGUGAUGAAGGUCUUCGGAUCGUAAAACUCUGUUAUUAGGGAAGAACAUAUGUGUAAGUAACUGUGCACAUCUUGACGGUACCUAAUCAGAAAGCCACGGCUAACUACGUG
Molecule: ribosomal RNA, 497 nt
Filed under: uncultured bacterium
Lineage: Bacteria
Description: partial 16S ribosomal RNA
Rfam family: Bacterial small subunit ribosomal RNA
Source: RNAcentral